UAAUGCCAGAAGCAAUUUAUUGUUUUUAACUUUUUUAAUAUGAUUUGGGGCAUUUCAGUUUUAUUGGAAAGAGGCAGCAGAGAUCUACUGGAAACAGUGGAGAGGGAGGAGAUGAUAUGCAGCAAAAGGCCCACCCGGAUGGUUGCUGCUCCGUGUGGAACGUGUUCUAUCAGAAAGGAUCAUGCCAGCCCACAUCAAACACCUGAUCAAGAACUUGUGAAUCUUCAGGCAGAACAGAUGAAAACACCUGUUCAAAGUUCCAGUUCCCUGUACAUGGAACCAUGCCUGUAUGGGACUCUGUUCCACAUGUCUUCAGUCAGUCCUGGACCCUAUGACUAGGACACUAGUUCUACCAAGGCUUAUUAGAGAUCUGCUACAUUGGAGGAUUCCAAAGCUGAGCUGGAAGGGGAAGUCACCACCUACAGGACAGCAAAUCUAAACAUUAAUUUGGAUAAAAUAUUAAACCAGGUAUUUUCACAAAAAGAACAAUCUGAGAUACCUGAACAGCGUGAGCCGGCACCCUGGACACCCACACACCCCAAUAAUUCCCCUUCAAAGAGCGAGCCACAUGGGAAGAUUGUUGUCAUUCACUUGCAAGGGGAGAUUCCAGUGCAUCCAGAGGUCUGGGCAAAAAUAAAAAAACAACACGAGGGACUCCAUGUUCGUGAAGGAGUUGGCUGUGG
Gymnodraco acuticeps is the source of this 683-nucleotide long non-coding RNA. RefSeq lists it as uncharacterized. The record is from RefSeq and is a predicted model, not a curated record. The transcript has 5 exons. NCBI's taxonomy places the organism in Eukaryota, Metazoa, Chordata, Actinopteri, Perciformes, Bathydraconidae.